UCCCGCUGCACCUCUCCGCCGCCCUGCCUCCCCUGCCCGGCUUCAGCCCCUCCAGCGAUACGGCUGAUGGAGGGGAGGCGGCGGCUGGGGUUUCGUUCGACGCCCACCAGGGGCUGAGCGAGCCUUCUUCAGUGCGCAAACUCGGGGCACCAGAUAAAAGCUGGGCUGGCAGCUCUUACCCUGCCUCGAUGGAGCCGCCACUUUCGGCUGACUGGAGAAGCAGUUAGCAGCAGCGCCAUAGACUAAGCGUCCCCCCACACCUUGGGCACAGAGAGUUUGGGGCUCUAAACAGCUGCUGCUGCGGCAGGAGGGAGUCGAGGUGAAGGGAUCUGCUAGCUGGUUGGACGCAGAGGAGGCGGCUGUAAUGGGGCAUUAAGUCUGAGGGAGGAGGGGGGGGCGAUUAAACCUCUUGUGAUCAUGGCGGAGUCUAUGGGUAUUUUUUUUCCUGUCUAACUCUUCUGUGCGUGUGUCUCUUGUUUCUUUCUCUCUCUCUCUCUCUCUCUCUCUCCUUAGGGCGCUUGGCUGGGGCUGCUCGCUCGGGUUCUGCCUGUUGUUGCGCGAAAUGGCGGCUGGCGUCUUGGUGAAAGUACACUAAAGGAAGAUUUGCUGAAAUCUGAAGAGGGAGACAGGCUCAGUCACUCAAACUACAGUGAUUCCAGAAUCUGUAAUGUAGACAGGCUAAGUGGUUUGUUUUUUUUUGUUUUUUUUUUUUCCCCUGUGCAGUUAAUGCUGUGCUUUUUUUGCUGGUUUCUCAGGGGAAAAGACUCAACAUGUUGAAUCACAGAGAUGUUAAUUCCUGCUAGGUUUUGGGAUUUCCUUGCAGCUCUUCCCUCCAUGGCUGCAGGAGCUGUUUUUGCAGAGUGCCUCUUCUAAGGCAAGAAUUUGCUAGAGAUGAAGACAGAAGCCAACUGGAUGUAAUAGUUUCUGGCUCAAAUUGUGUGGUAAUUGUCAGAAUAUCACAGGGUGUUGUAGGAACUGCUGUGUUGAGCAUAGUUGAGGAUUUAUUCUUUCAUAAUUUGCCUAAAUGAGUAUAAAAUGCUAAUCUGAAUUAACAUACAAAAGUGAGGGGAAAGAUUUCUUGAUGUUUUCUACCCACUUGAAACCUGAUGUGUGCAAAAAUAAAUUUCAGUAUGCUGAAGUAGUCA
RNAcentral lists this long non-coding RNA (1145 nucleotides) under Lonchura striata (white-rumped munia). Its description in RNAcentral is "domestica (Bengalese finch) lncRNA (ENSLSDG00000012253.1)". The record is from RNAcentral. Lineage: Eukaryota; Metazoa; Chordata; Aves; Passeriformes; Estrildidae.